This 1194-nucleotide long non-coding RNA is filed under the name Serinus canaria (Common canary). RNAcentral's name for it is "lncRNA (ENSSCAG00000005033.1)". The record is from RNAcentral. Lineage: Eukaryota; Metazoa; Chordata; Aves; Passeriformes; Fringillidae.
GGCCGGAUAUGUUGAGGUGGUUCAAAGCAACGGUCACAGCGUGUCUUUGUCAUUUGGGGCGGUGAGUGAUUGUAGGAGGAAGGGAAGGUUGCCACCUCUUUCCUUGAGGAGUCCAGAGACACAGAGGGGCAGAGCCGCGCCGCAUGGAGUGGGCGCUAGGGAGGGAGGGACUGCUCCCUUCUCCGGAGGGCCGCAGGGCUGCUCCUCCGGAGCCUCCUCCGGCCCUGGCACCGGCCCCGGCCGCUCUGCCUCGCCAGAACACGAAAACCCUCCCCCGCCGGGGCUGGAGACACUCGGCUUUCUAUCUGCAGCAUCAGCGAGAAAGCCCAGCUCGGCGCAGGCUCAGUGCUCACCGCCGCAGUCCCGGACGGAGGAGGGGGGUUCGGGAGAGCAGCAUCUUCCCAGCGGGUUAAGUAGGAUUAAUACCAAAUCCCCAUUAUAUUUGCCAAGCAACUUGAAUUUGUCAAAAUUCCCCCUCGCUGUUCUGGAGCUCUGUGAGGAAGAAAUUUUGCUCACAGUGUAAGAUCCAGACGUGCCAGUAGGUAGGAAUACCAGCAUACUGCAUUACACCGGCUCCCUGGGCUGGAAAUACAACUGCGAACCGCAGGUCCCGCUGUUCCCGUCCCUUUGUGUUUUUAAACGCAGUCAGGAAACUUAAUGUAUUCGCCAGGGAAGGGGCGGGAUGAGAGCGCUUUUAACCUCCCCGCCAUAAACUUUAAUCGGAUUCCAGGCUGUUGCACGGCAUGGACGCUCCCCUUCUUGCCUGCGUCUCCUUCCCCGUUGUUUCUACUACGAUCUCCUUGCGAGUGCCUCUUUCAAGCGAAUGAGUGAUUUCUUUCUCUUGCCAUGUGCAAUUGCUCCCCCUUCCUUUCCUACCCUCGCUGGCCUCUCUUACACACACUAUGCCUUUCACACGCGGUCUGCGCCCCCCAGUCCCCCCCUCCUUUCCUUCUUUUUUGCAGUGUCUUCACAUGCAAUCUCUCUCUGAAUGUGCAAUGUCUUUCCUGCUCGGGAGUGCUGCGUCCUUCACAGUGGAUUGGUUCCUCUUUCGGAGCAGAGUUCACAAUUUUCCAGCAUGCUUCUUAUGGUGAAAGAAACUCAUUUCAAAGGAAGGAAGAAAGGAAGAAGAAAUAUCUCUUUCAAGUGUUGCUGGAAGGAGUGGCUCAAUGUUCUAAAGAUGAUGGAAAUGUCUGA